GUGGGAGCUGGCUUGCCUGCGAUGGCGGUCUGUCAGAAAAGUAUUUUGCAACUGGCACUCCACUAUCGCAGGCAAGCCAGCUCCCAC
RNAcentral lists this non-coding RNA (87 nucleotides) under Pseudomonas tolaasii NCPPB 2192. Lineage: Bacteria; Pseudomonadati; Pseudomonadota; Gammaproteobacteria; Pseudomonadales; Pseudomonadaceae. The record is from RNAcentral.